AGACGAUAUGAUAAGGAAUGUUGUCCUUAUGCACACCAGUGGGAUUCAAACACUAAUUCUUGUACAGCUUGCAGAUCUGGAUACUUCGGUCUGCACUGUGAUAUAAAAUGUCCAUAUCCAUCUUAUGGCUACCUCUGUCAAAGUAAAUGCAACUGCAACAAAGAGAAAUGCAGACCAGCAUAUGGAUGCCUGAAUUUAAAAAAUCCUGCGUUAGAAGGAUAUAAAGCUGGCUAUCCUGGACCAAGAGGAAAACAUGAGUGUAGAUAUCCAAAUUAUGGUGCCAACUGCCAAAAUAUAUGCAAUUGCAACCCAG
Long non-coding RNA from Saccostrea cuccullata (small rock oyster), 313 nucleotides. RefSeq lists it as uncharacterized. Lineage: Eukaryota; Metazoa; Mollusca; Bivalvia; Ostreida; Ostreidae. The record is from RefSeq and is a predicted model, not a curated record. The transcript has 3 exons.